CAUUGAAAUAAAUUUUGAUUUUGUGCGAAAAGAUGGAAUUUGGAUCGACCAUGAAGGCAAUGAGAGCAAUAUCAAUGAUGGUAUUGGGACAUCUUCUUCAACAAACUAAUAUUCAAGAUGCAAAUAUCCUUAUUCAAGGGUUCCAGGAGUUGGAUUUGGAAAUUGCUCGAGAUAUGAUAUUAUUCAUUCGAAUUAUGUUGUUUUGUUUUGUUUUGUUGUGUUGUGUUUUGAGUAUGUACUCUUUUUCCUUCUUAGACUUUUUCCCACUGAGGUUUUUUAUCUAAGAAGGUUUUAACGAGGCAUAUUCUGGAUUGGUGUUUUACCAAUUCCAAUUUAGAAUUUAGUUUUCAUUUGGAUUGUUUGUAAACUCUUGUGUAUUCAUUUCUUUAAUCAGAAUAUAUAUCUACUUUAUUU
This is a long non-coding RNA of Humulus lupulus (European hop), 414 nucleotides long. RefSeq lists it as uncharacterized. The transcript has 2 exons. The record is from RefSeq and is a predicted model, not a curated record. NCBI's taxonomy places the organism in Eukaryota, Viridiplantae, Streptophyta, Magnoliopsida, Rosales, Cannabaceae.